Molecule: long non-coding RNA, 773 nt
Filed under: Lactuca sativa (garden lettuce)
Lineage: Eukaryota; Viridiplantae; Streptophyta; Magnoliopsida; Asterales; Asteraceae
Description: long non-coding RNA (LSAT_LNC001857)
Source: RNAcentral
CCAUAGCCUGAGCCUGAUCCACUACCGCUUGCUGACCCUCCACCACCUCCACCACCACCACCACCACCGCCUCCUCCUCCACCACCUCCUCCUCUACCUCCACCACCACUUCCGUAUCCAGAGCCACUCCCUGAUCCAUAACCUGACCCGGAACCCUGGCCAUUCUCUGCAACACCAGAACCACCACCACCUCCUCCUCCUUGACCACCGCCACCUCCUCCCCCUUGACCAUCGAUCUUCUUAGACGAUCUAGCAGCAAACCCAAGGUCCACAAUAAAUAACACCAAGAAUGCAAUGGCUAUGAUCUUUGACUUUGAGUUUGCCAUCUUCAAACUCUGUAGGACUAGAGUACCUCAGUUGUGUUGUGUAUAUGUUCUCAAGCAAUGCAAUAUGAGUUGUGAGCUCAAUGUAUAUAUGUGUGUUUUAGACUAAUACGAUACAAUGAAAUGAGUUGUGUGGUACAAACAAGAGCAGGAGACUUGGCUAUUUAUAGGCAUUGCAAAACGCAAAAUUCAAAAAGGUUUUCUAACUUUGAGCGAGUCUGGUAUUCUAGUAGCUUCCAAAUGAUGGGAAAUCGAAAUGAAGUGUCUGAUUUGAGAUAAAAAGAUAGUGGUGCUGGUGCUGGUGGAGGUGGGUGGGCGGUGGUGCUCUCUAGCUAUGUUAUCUCUUGUUGUCCAUGCACAGUCAUCAUAAACCUUUCACUAAAGUGUUCUCCCACUUUUGACAAAACAAGCUUCAAAAUUUGUCAAUCUAAUUAAUCUAUUCACACGACU